CCUACGGGGGGCAGCAGUGAGGAAUAUUGGUCAAUGGGCGCGAGCCUGAACCAGCCAAGUCGCGUGAGGGAAGACGGUCCUAUGGAUUGUAAACCUCUUUUGUCGGGGAGCAAAAGACGCCACGCGUGGCGUUCUGCGAGUACCCGAAGAAAAAGCAUCGGCUAACUCCGUGCCAGCAGCCGCGGUAAUACGGAGGAUGCGAGCGUUAUCCGGAUUUAUUGGGUUUAAAGGGUGCGCAGGCGGAAGAUCAAGCCGGCGGUAAAAUUGUGGGGCUCAACCUUUUAGAGCCGUUGAAACUGGUUUUCUUGAGUGAGCGAGAGGUAUGCGGAAUGCGUGGUGUAGCGGUGAAAUGCAUAGAUAUCACGCAGAACUCCGAUUGCGAAGGCAGCAUACCGGCGCGCAACUGACGCUGAUGCACGAAAGUGUGGGUAUCGAACAGGAUUAGAUACCCGAGUAGUC
RNAcentral lists this ribosomal RNA (459 nucleotides) under uncultured bacterium. Its description in RNAcentral is "partial 16S ribosomal RNA". It matches the Rfam family "Bacterial small subunit ribosomal RNA", at positions 338 to 795 of the family's 1533-position model. The record is from RNAcentral.